CCCUUAGAUGUUCUGGGCCGCACGCGCGCUACACUGACGGAUUCAACGAGCUUACAACCUUGGCCGAAAGGUCUGGGUAAUCUCCAAAAUCCGUCGUGAUGGGGAUAGAUUAUUGCAAUUAUUAAUCUUCAACGAGGAAUGCCUAGUAAGCGCAAGUCAUCAGCUUGCGUUGAUUACGUCCCUGCCCUUUGUACACACCGCCCGUCGCUCCUACCGAUUGAAUGGUCCGGUGAAGCGUUUGGACUAUGGUUUUCUGACGGUUCGCCAUUGGAUUACCGUGGGAAAUUCGUUAAACCUUAUCAUUUAGAGGAAGGAGAAGUCGUAACA
RNAcentral lists this ribosomal RNA (327 nucleotides) under uncultured eukaryote. RNAcentral describes it as "partial 18S ribosomal RNA". It matches the Rfam family "Eukaryotic small subunit ribosomal RNA", at positions 1470 to 1796 of the family's 1831-position model. The record is from RNAcentral.